GUAGGUGGCAAGCGUUGUCCGGAAUUAUUGGGCGUAAAGCGCGCGCAGGCGGGUCCUUUAAGUCUGAUGUGAAAGCCCACGGGCUCAACCGUGGAGGGUCAUUGGAAACUGGGGGACUUGAGUACAGAAGAGGAAAGCGGAAUUCCAAGUGUAGCGGUGAAAUGCGUAGAGAUUUGGAGGAACACCAGUGGCGAAGGCGGCUUUCUGGUCUGUAACUGACGCUGAGGCGCGUAAAGCGUGGGGAGCAAACAGGAUUAGAUACCCUGGUAGUCCACGCCGUAAACGAUGAGUGCUAAGUGUUAGGGGGUUUCCGCCCCUUAGUGCUGCAGCUAACGCAUUAAGCACUCCGCCUGGGGAGUACGGCCGCAAAGGCUG
Molecule: ribosomal RNA, 375 nt
Filed under: uncultured organism
Description: partial 16S ribosomal RNA
Rfam family: Bacterial small subunit ribosomal RNA
Source: RNAcentral